Molecule: non-coding RNA, 117 nt
Filed under: Chlorocebus sabaeus (green monkey)
Lineage: Eukaryota; Metazoa; Chordata; Mammalia; Primates; Cercopithecidae
Source: Rfam by way of RNAcentral
GCUGGGCAUGGUGGCUCAUGCCUGUAAUCCCAGCAUUUUGGGAGGCCGAGGCAGGUGGAUCACUUGAGGUCAGGAGUUCAAAAUCAGCCUGGCCAAUAUGGUGAAACCCUGUCUCUA